GAUGAACGCUGACAGAAUGCUUAACACAUGCCAGUCUUUGGCGAAGCUGUGCUUGCACAGCCUAGCCAAGGCGGACGGGUGAGUAACGCGUAAGGAACUUGCCCUGCAGUCAGGGAUAACAGACGGAAACGACUGAUAAGACCUGGUAAAGUCAGGCGGACUCAUGUCCAGCCUGAUGAAAAGAGAUGCUGCAGGAGAGCCUUGCGUCCUAUUAGCUUGUUGGUGGGGUAACGGCCCACCAAGGCGAUGAUAGGUAGCCGGCCUGAGAGGGUGGACGGCCACAAGGGGACUGAGAUACGGCCCUUACUCCUACGGGAGGCAGCAGUGGGGAAUAUUGGACAAUGGGGGCAACCCUGAUCCAGCAAUUCUGUGUGCACGAUGAAGGUUUUCGGAUUGUAAAGUGCUUUCAGCAGGGAAGAAAAAAAUGACGGUACCUGCAGAAGAAGCGACGGCUAAAUACGUG
This 463-nucleotide ribosomal RNA is filed under the name uncultured bacterium. RNAcentral's name for it is "partial 16S ribosomal RNA". It matches the Rfam family "Bacterial small subunit ribosomal RNA", at positions 28 to 507 of the family's 1533-position model. The record is from RNAcentral.